UGCCGGCGACCGGCGGACGGGUGCGUAACGCGUAUGUAACCUACCUUUGACAGGGGGAUAACAUCGAGAAAUUGGUACUAAUACCCCAUAACAUCACCGGAGGCAUCUUCGGUGGUUGAAAACUCAGGUGGUCAGAGAUGGACAUGCGUUGUAUUAGCUAGUUGGUGAGGUAACGGCUCACCAAGGCGACGAUACAUAGGGGGACUGAGAGGUCAACCCCCCACAUUGGUACUGAGACACGGCCCAAACUCCUACGGAAGGCAGCAG
This 267-nucleotide ribosomal RNA is filed under the name uncultured bacterium. Its description in RNAcentral is "partial 16S ribosomal RNA". It matches the Rfam family "Bacterial small subunit ribosomal RNA", at positions 86 to 354 of the family's 1533-position model. The record is from RNAcentral.